This is a long non-coding RNA of Thunnus maccoyii (southern bluefin tuna), 3434 nucleotides long. RefSeq lists it as uncharacterized. The record is from RefSeq and is a predicted model, not a curated record. Lineage: Eukaryota; Metazoa; Chordata; Actinopteri; Scombriformes; Scombridae. The transcript is spliced from 3 exons.
GAAAGGGAGUCAGCUGGAGCCAGCAUCAAGCAGCUGUCGGUGGCAUUACACUUUAAGGUACUUCCACAAUGGCUACAGCCUCAAGCUGUUCUUAAGCCAUAAGACACUAAACUUAGAUGGUGAACCACCUUUUUGACAUUACUUGCAAAAUAUCCCCCAAUGUUAACAUUGUUAGCACGCUGUAGCAUUUAGCAUUUAGCUCAAAGCACUGCUGUUCCUAAGUAGGCCUACAGGCUAACAGAGCAGCAUGUGGCUGUAGAUUCUUAGUCUUGUUAGACUGUCAUUAAAUCAGUAUUUGAUUCUAUAAGCCACUGAGAAGAAAAUAUGUCAGGAGUUAAAUAUAACUUGACUUAAGUUUGAAAAAAAAAAAAUCCAAAGAGAAAAAAAAAACUGGUCUGUGUUAGCUCAGCCAGUCUGAGUGUUUUCACACCUUGCUAUUCAGUCACCAACACACACACACACACCAUCAAACUUCAACACUACAGUCCCAGCCGGCCCAGAACAGUUUCAUCACAUUUUAUAUGAGUCCACAGCAACCUGAGAGGAAAGAUCCUCUUUUUAUCACCUCUCAACCCCCCUCCCCUCCCGACAAACCAAAAUAGCUCCAACAGACACACAAUGAAGGAAUGUUAUUCACCACUGCUAGACCUUUCAGGACCUUUCAAAACAAAGUGUGGGUCAGCAGUAAUUGUGCCCAGUGCCCAGCAGCACCCAGGGAGCCCAGAUCCUGUUUACACCUCUGCCAACACCAUCCUCCAACCGCUGUGACGGCUUCUUGUAACUCCACUUGGGCCUGGGAUCUGUUUUGAAGGAACUGCUGGGGGUUUUUUAACAGAAGUGAGGAGGUUUCAAGAUUGGAAUCUGACAGGAGAAAAGUACCUCUGGAGAUUAAAACUGGGCAGGAUUGUUAAGACUGAAGAUGUCUUUAAAGAGACGGCUGCUGUCUAUGUUGUUGUGCUGUGUUUACUGUGUGGCCUCGCUCUUCUGCCUUCACCCAAACCGCGCCAAUUGCUUCUCUGUCGGCGCUCGGAAUCUGGUGUCGGUCAUCCAGCAGCUUUACCAGCGUGUCAUUCGGCUGCUGCGUACCACUCUGUGAUCCGCAGCGCUCCCUGUGUUUGAACCAAUAACCCUGGACCUGUGCUGCCACCGUGGCCGCUGUGGCUGCUGUAAAGAAUGCCAUCCAGCAGUGCAUUAUCAGCUAAAAGGUGUCACUCCACUUUUGGACUGUGGGGUUUCUAUCAACUCAGUAUUAUCUGAAUUGAGCUCCACCCACCCUGCUGUGUUCACUACUGCAAUUCUCUGACUAUAUUUUAGAUGAGGGGGAGAAGUGAAUCUAAAUUUUUUGUUGUUUUUUUUUACUGAUUCAUGUUGAUCAAAAUUGUGGAUAUUUGCUGUGUAAGAUGUGAGUGAGGUGGAUGGGACAUCAGCAGUCUUCAUUUUAAUGCUUUUUCAUGUUUCACAUGUUUCAAACUGUUUUUACAACAACGACAGAAGCCUAAAGCUCUCAGAAAUAGGCUCGUUACCAAGAGGUUGCUGGUUAACAUUCCUGAAGUGGCAGGGAGAGGAGGAACAAAUCCUCUUCCCUCCAACAACAACCACCACAGAGUUAUUCCUGAGGAGCUGUUUUGUGGCUUGUUUGGCGCAGAGUGAAGCUUGAAAUAUGCAUUUGAGAGGUCUUCACAGGUCCAAAAUUUGUGGAAACCUAUAUACCCAACCCAAGAUGUAUAAAUGAAGCAAGUAAAGUAACGGACCACAUUCGACAGUGACUUCAGGACGGUCAGAACAGGUCCGAAAUUGACCCGAGGAUAGUAAGAUCUGAUCAGACAGACUCAAAAAGAGAGAGAACACCAACGCAGGCAGCAGCAUGAUGCUAAUUAACAAGUAGCCACAGUCAAGAGAGCAGCAAUGUGUGCCAUUUUUUUCAGACACAACACAUUAUCAGAACUGAUAGGAAGUCUGCGUUGAUCCACUAUCAGACAUAUUGACACAAGACCUGUGGCAAUUCAACAAAACCCUACCCAGACCUAAUUAGACUGACUAUAAAGUGGACCCACCUUGGUUAAUAGAAACCAAGAGCACCUGUGAAGACCUCUACUUAAGUAUACAAACACCAUGACAGCAUUUGGCUUGUGCUUUUCAAAUACCUGGCACAGUUGUACAUGAUCAACAUGCACCUUUACUUCCCUGUGAUGGUGAAAGAGCAAGAAACAUGCAAAUUUACCAUGGCAGGGAAAGGAGGAAACAUGAUCAUCAGACAAGACAGCUUGGCCUUAUUGUUGCUAUGAUACCCUUCACUGCUGUUGUUUGUGUGAAACUUGCAUUAUGUUAAGAAUUUCCGGUGUCACAUUUCUGAAGGCAACAAUGUGUGAAUUCAUCUUAGCAUAGCUUGACGCAUCCUUGAUUGUGUGUCUAUGUAUGAUUGUACUGGGAUUAAAAGGCAGUAGGUUGCCAAAAUUCCACCAAUGCAGCAACAAGCUGCAGGAGAAUAAGCUGAUAAUUGACUUUUGACAGCUGCAGUAGUAAUGUGUUGUGUAAGUCAGUGAGGUGAUAAUGCAAAGGGAAUCAUGGGGAGACCUCACCAACUAAUAGAGAUUUUAGGCAAUAGCUGACACUACUAGCCUAAUUUUAUAGUAUAUACACUCAGCUUUACGGCUGUGUAACUGCCUGUGUAACAAGUCCUCACUUAUAAAUAUAACAAACUAAGUCAACACAUCUGAAAGUUUUGCGUUUUGCUGAUCUGGGGACACAUUGGCAGGAAGAAGACACAUCAGCAGCGCUUUUUUUUUUUUAAGUUUAUGCAACUAAAACUACUUUUUUAAGGAGGUGGUUGACAUUUUUUCACUUAAUUAUAGUGGUGGCAUGCCGAUAGUGUUGUUUCAGUUUUAUUUAUGCAGGUUUUGAGAUAUUUAUGAGAUUUGUGCCUCUACACUAAAGUCAAUUGAAUUUUGUUUGUGUGGCUCAUUGAAAAUUUACAUUUAAAGAAUUCAGCAGCAGAAUGUGUACAAUUUCAAUGAAAGCUGUUCAUUUUGAAGUCACAGAUGUUGCCUGUCAGGAAAACAAAAAUGGGUCGUUUUAAGCCUUUUCAAUGAAAAAUAUGGUGUUUUGUUUUGGUAAGGACAGUCUCCCAUCUGUUGCCUUGGUGUCAAAAAAGAUGAGCGAUGCAGGAAAAAUCCAUUUUUAGGUAGGAGGUCACCUGAAAGCUGAAAAGCUGGUUUGGUUUCAAUUAGAAUUUCUGUUUGUUAAAUUGAGAAAGAGGACAUAAGUCAGUAAAGACUGAUUCAGAGAAAGAUAAGUAUAAAAAAAAAUUACUACAGUACAUCUUAAUUGAAAAAAUGCAAUUGCUACCUUUUGGUUUAGAGAUGAGAAUAUGAAUGUGUAACCAUACCCAGAGGAAUAACUUCCCCACUUUGGAGACUAAGAUUAAAAAAAAAAAA